RNAcentral lists this ribosomal RNA (333 nucleotides) under Wickerhamomyces sp. Its description in RNAcentral is "partial 26S ribosomal RNA". It matches the Rfam family "Eukaryotic large subunit ribosomal RNA", at positions 92 to 418 of the family's 3401-position model. The record is from RNAcentral. Lineage: Eukaryota; Fungi; Ascomycota; Saccharomycetes; Phaffomycetales; Wickerhamomycetaceae.
AGUGAAGCGGCGAAAGCUCAAAUUUGAAAUCUAGGCACUCUUUCGGACGUUCGAGUUGUAAUUUGAAGAAGGCAACCUUGGGUUUGGUCCUUGUCUAUGUUCCUUGGAACAGGACGUCAUAGAGGGUGAGAAUCCCGUCUGGCGAGAUGCCCAUUCCUUUGUAAAGUGCUUUCGACGAGUCGAGUUGUUUGGGAAUGCAGCUCUAAGUGGGUGGUAAAUUCCAUCUAAAGCUAAAUAUUGGCGAGAGACCGAUAGCGAACAAGUACAGUGAUGGAAAGAUGAAAAGAACUUUGAAAAGAGAGUGAAAAAGUACGUGAAAUUGUUGAAAGGGAA